RNAcentral lists this long non-coding RNA (318 nucleotides) under Gallus gallus (chicken). The record is from RNAcentral. Lineage: Eukaryota; Metazoa; Chordata; Aves; Galliformes; Phasianidae.
ACACGGAACCCAGGUGACACAGAACCCAGGUGACAUGGAACCCAGGUGACACGGAACCCACGUCACAGUGCCUAUACGACACGGAACCAAGGUGACACGGAACCCAGAUGUCACAGUGCCUAUACGACACGGAACCGAGGUGCCACGAGCCCCCGUGCCGCACUGCUGGUGUCCGGAGGUGUCCGGAGGUGUCCGGAGGUGUCCGGAGGUGCCAGGAGGCGACACGAGCGGACAGCCCACGUUAUCAGUGCCCUCACAGCCACCCCCUCCCCCCCCCCGACACCCACAGCGUGGGCUGAGCGCGUGCCGUGCCCCCCC